Molecule: ribosomal RNA, 373 nt
Filed under: uncultured bacterium
Lineage: Bacteria
Description: partial 16S ribosomal RNA
Rfam family: Bacterial small subunit ribosomal RNA
Source: RNAcentral
CCUACGGGUGGCAGCAGUGAGGAAUAUUGGUCAAUGGGCGCGAGCCUGAACCAGCCACGUCGCGUGAAGGAUGACUGCCCUACGGGUUGUAAACUUCUUUUAUAAAGGAAUAAAGUGAGGCACGUGUGCCUUUUUGUAUGUACUUUAUGAAUAAGGAUCGGCUAACUCCGUGCCAGCAGCGGCGGUAAUACGGAGGAUCCGUGCGUGAUCCGGAUUUAUUGGGUUUAAAGGUAGCGUAGAUGGGUUGUUAAGUCAGUUGUGAAAGUUUGCGGCUAAACCGUAAAAUUGCAAUUGAUACUGGCAGUCUUGAGUACAGUAGAGGUAAGCGGAAUUCGUGGUGUAGCGGUGAAAUGCGUAGAUAUCACGAAGAACA